GCACCAUAGACAACAAGGUGGCAUUUGGUGUUGUUAUUCCAUCCGAAGAUGGUUUGUGUAAUAAGAUACAUGGGAGGGAUAUGCCAAUUGGUUGUCUUCGAGUUUCUGUUGAUGGACUGCUCCCCGAUAGUAACAAAGAUGCAUUGCUUCCCGUGCCGGUGCCGGGUGAAAUGGAGUUGGUGACUGAAUAUGUUGGCUCUCACGUAGCAUGGCCAGAAAAUCUAAUCACUUUUCCAUCGGUUGUGGUCUCCAAUUAUCUAAUAUUAUUUUUUUAGAGUGUGUAAAGAGUGAUAAUGAACAUUUACAUGCGUUGACCGUUUUGUGGUUGAUUAUUUUUGUGCAGGGUGAAGAAAAAGAAUUGUGCCGGCCACAACCAUAGAAAGAUGAGUUGAAGGCAUUGCAGAUAAAGUUUACCGAAGCAGCGCCACCUGAAAAUGUGCCAAAGAGGUGGAGAUUAUUAUAUAAGCAUGCGAUGACCAUAAUGAAGGAAACUGGAGUCUCUGUCAAAAUUCCUUGUGAUAGGCAAGUUUUUGGAUGUGAUAAGAAAAUAUGUUUGCUGCAAGAGGAGUUGUUGGCAUUGUUGCAGUUUAAUAUGGUGGGCCAAUCUGCUAUAUCAGCCUAUAUGAUGUUAGUAUUUUUUCCUCUUUUCCUUAUUCGCAUAUAUAUGUUUGUGUAUAUCUAAAUAUAUUCUAGUUUAAUAUGUACAUUUUAUAAAAUAUAUAGGAACUUGUAUAAUGAGCUAUGUGAGGCCAAGGAACUGGACACAUUUGGUUUUUUCAAUCCGGG
This 786-nucleotide long non-coding RNA is filed under the name Daucus carota (carrot). RNAcentral describes it as "long non-coding RNA (DCAR_LNC001908)". Lineage: Eukaryota; Viridiplantae; Streptophyta; Magnoliopsida; Apiales; Apiaceae. The record is from RNAcentral.